CAUCCACUGCUCGGCUGUCAAAGUAAACACACGCACACGCACGCACACACACACACACACGUGCAGACCAACGCGCGUGAGGAAAAGAGCGGCACAUCGCGGCAGACAGAGACGUUCAUAGCACAACGCUGGGCUCUCAGUCGCGUUUACUCUUCCUAGAUUUCGAACAGCAAACCCCUCCCUCUCCCUUCCUCCCUUGGUCUUGUCUCUCGACGGGCAGCAAGGCGUCUGCCUGAGCAGCUCAUCCGUCACCCUUUCCCUUAUCCUGUUCCCCAACGUUUCUCGAUCAGGAAAGAAAUGCGGUGUAUAUCCCAUCGCUCCUAUGAGUCGACGGACCUUCUCACGGACUGCACGGUGGCCGUGCAGCAACUAAUGGGUAGCCGUUCGCUGCUGCCGCCCUCUCCGACAGCCGACGAACUGCUACAGCUUCUACAUGAGUCUGGCCACCCCUGCACUUCAUCGACGGCGCCGGAUAGCAACAUGGGGGUGCUCGGCUGGCCGCCAGCGUCCUUCUCGGCCUCGAGCAUCAAGUGCAAGUGUCCUACGAGCAGGCGUGUGGCGAGCAGUUUUGCCGCUGCUGGGGCUCAUUCGAUGCUGGGUGAGAUGCUGCAGUUUUUCGCUGAGGCAGUGACGCGCCUCUUCACGACCGGUGUGGCCGAUCCGUCCGUGCGCGCGUUUCCUUCAGAGUGGGAUCGUCGCCUGCAUGCACCGGCGGCUGCGUCUCUGCGCCAGCACCACCUCUAUGAGCUACAGGGCUUCAGCACGCUGUUCACCUACAUCUGGGGUCAGGUGGCUACGUCUUUGCCACUUUUGCGAGAGCAACACGGAGAGGAGAAGGCCCUGAUAGAGUCUACAGAGCGCGACAUAGCGUCGUCGACCUCGCUGGCGAUGAGGUCUACUUGCGGCUCAAGUGCGAAGAGUCCAGCGGCGCAGCAGCCACCGCCCCGUCUUCCGCUGUCUGCGUCAGCCGCCGCAGCGCACCAGGCCCAGCCCUUUCAUCGGGCAGCGAGAAAGAACGGCAGUGGCGGUCUUCAAAGCGAAAGCGCUUCAGCGCAUGCGCGCCCACUCCUUUCACUCACUCCUGCGGCCCUGCAUCUUCCAAAUGCUGCGACGGCACCCACCUACUGCCGAGGAAAGCGGCAGAAAGACGGCCCUAUCUCUGCGGUGCCGAGUCGAUCGGCAGCACAGCCGCCGACUCUAGCUGUGCUUCAGCACGCUCUGACAGUGCAAGCGAGGGCGCAGGGACCAUUUCUGCCCUCGAUUCCGCCCGAAGGGCUUGUGCCGUCAUCAGGCGCUCGAAAGGUCGAGGGGCCGCACCCGGAGAACGCCGGCGCGGCAAACGACUAUGCAAAGCAUUCGCUGGCAUCGGUGUCGUCUAAUUCUAACGCGACAGCAUCGCACCUCGCAUCAGCACGGAUAUUGUCGGUCGAGCAGGCGAUGCAGCUGGACCGUCAGCGUGAACUGCAAAGAAAACUAGGAGUCCGCCGAGUGCGCAACUACGCCGCCGAGGAUGACAUGCGCAACUACCUUGAAAACUAUCAGGCUAAUAUGCGGAGCGUGUUAGAGGGAGACGAUGUGGCAGAAGAUGGCACGUAGUGGGAGUAUCGCAGCGAUCUCUUUUUUUGAGGAGGAGGGGGUGAGUUUCAGUACUUCCACUCGCACGCGCAUCUGCUGCUAUUCGCUCAGCUGCACCAGCGUCGAACUCUGCUCGCUCUGAUUCUUCUUUGUUGUUGUGCCUCUACAUGAUGUAAACUACAGAGCCAAACGGCUGCGAGGGGAGGGAGGGCUGACGAUGGCUGUGCUUGCGUUUCGUGUGACACCUGCUUCUCCUCUUUCCUCUCUCAUCCACUACAACCCCUUCCCUUCUUCACGCCUCUCUUCUUGCCUUUAGUGGAUGAAAGCUCCCCUGAUGACGGGGGACGCCUCAUCGCGUGGCAUCAGAGCCCAGCGCCCACUCUUUGUGGGGAGGCCAAGCAGCCUGCAGCCUGCCCUCGGGUGCGGCUGCGGUGUCUUGGCGCUGACGGACAGUUCUAGGCUGGCGCGGAGCCGAAGAGACGUGCGGUCAUGAUGACCCUUUUACCAGCUCACUAAGAACCGUGUCGGCGAUUCAGAAAACAUAUCCCCCACCUGCUCUGUGUGCAGUUGCGUGGAAGUGGGUCUGAACGACGCCAAACGGUGUUCGUUGGCCCUUUUCCCGAACCUAGCUGCACUGCAACAGAGGCCGAUGAGCUGUGACUGUGUGCACGUCUAUUUGGUGGCGUGUACCUGGUCGAAAUGGGCCUGCAAAAAGAGCAAAACAACAAUAAAAGUGCACUGUGUGAUCGCCGAGAGAAGCACCGGUGAAAGCACGCCCAUGGCGCAGAAGAUACUCGUACAACGUCGCGCGUGUGUGACGAAGAGGAAUAGAACGACGCUCACAAAAAAGAAGCCAACAACCCUGGUACGCAUUCACACCCUCUGUGUGCCUGUGGCUCGCUAGGGGUGAUGGACGACUUCGGUGCGCACGUGCCAUUGAUGCCUGGCUGCAACGUGCCUUUCGUUAUCUUGGCUGGGAAAGGGCUCUGCAGCAUCAAGCGCACACCUGUACAGGGGCAUGGGCCCUUUGCCGCCGCCCUCAACUGCACUGCACCUUAUCCUCGAGCUGGUAGCAUUGCCCUCGUGUUCACGUUUCUCUCUUUUAUCGCUCGCAGCGUACUAGACUUCUCUGCACUCCUUCUCCUUAUCCCUCUCUUCUUUUCUCACGUCUGCGGCCGCCGGUUUCCAG
RNAcentral lists this unclassified non-coding RNA (2764 nucleotides) under Leishmania donovani. Its description in RNAcentral is "gene:LdHU3.36.5800(CDS-product:hypothetical_prote in_conserved)". Lineage: Eukaryota; Euglenozoa; Kinetoplastea; Trypanosomatida; Trypanosomatidae. The record is from RNAcentral.